Molecule: ribosomal RNA, 433 nt
Filed under: uncultured bacterium
Lineage: Bacteria
Description: partial 16S ribosomal RNA
Rfam family: Bacterial small subunit ribosomal RNA
Source: RNAcentral
AACGAACGCUGGCGGCAUGCCUAACACAUGCAAGUCGAACGAGACCUUCGGGUCUAGUGGCGCACGGGUGCGUAACGCGUGGGAACCUGCCCUUAGGUUCGGAAGAACUCCCCGAAAGGGGUGCUAAUACCGGAUAAUGUCAUCGGACCAAAGAUUUAUCGCCUUUGGAUGGGCCCGCGUUGGAUUAGCUAGUUGGUAGGGUAAAAGCCUACCAAGGCGACGAUCCAUAGCUGGUCUGAGAGGAUGAUCAGCCACACUGGGACUGAGACACGGCCCAGACUCCUACGGGAGGCAGCAGUGGAGAAUAUUGUACAAUGGGCGAAAGCCUGAUCCAGCAAUGCCGCGUGAGUGAUGAAGGCCUUAGGGUUGUAAAGCUCUUUUACCCGGGAUGAUAAUGACAGUACCGGGAGAAUAAGCUCCGGCUAACUCCGUG